Molecule: RNA transcript, 1238 nt
Organism: Prunus persica (peach)
Lineage: Eukaryota; Viridiplantae; Streptophyta; Magnoliopsida; Rosales; Rosaceae
Gene name: iron-sulfur cluster co-chaperone protein HscB, mitochondrial
Exons: 8
Source: RefSeq, a predicted model, not a curated record
UUGAACCCUGGAAGUUGCCAGACACUUGUUAACCCAACCGCCAGAGGUCUGUGAGCUCCAACAAUGUCGAACAAACACCUACUUACUUCUCUCUCCUCCGUUCUCCGACGAACCCUAACUCCGACGUCUCAUUUCUCAUUCAAUUCCACCAGGUGGUUUCAAUCCGGCACUUUCUUCUCACCCAAUGUAAAAACACACCACCGCCUUUUCCCGUGUAGCGGAUUGGAUUUUCUCGAGAUUCACAAAAUUCCCGGAAAAUGUUUUACCUCCUCCCAAUCAGCGGAGAAAGCCAGCGCCAAGUGCUGGAACUGUAGUGCCGCGGCUGAAGCGGUGCCGUUUCUGUUUUGUUCAUCUUGUCGGUGCAUUCAACCUGUGGAUCAGUCGGUGGAUUACUUUCAGAUAUUUGGACUGGAGAGAAAGUAUGACAGUGUGGUGGACAAUCUGGAGGGAAAGUAUAAAGACUGGCAGAAAAAAUUGCACCCUGAUCUUGUUCAUACAAAAUCAAAGGAGGAAAGAGAGUAUGCUGCUGAACAGUCUGCUAGGGUGAUUGAUGCAUACCUCACACUUAGCAAGCCCUUGGCGAGGGCAAUCUACAUUUUGAAGCUUGAAGGUGUGGAUGUUGAUGAAGAAGAGACACUUUCGGAAUCAGAGUUGUUAACUGAGAUUCUGGAAAUCAGGGAAGCUGUUGAAGAAGCUGCUGACUCUCAGGCUUUAGUUCAGAUUCAGUCUCAGAUGCAAGAGAAACUGAAGCACUGGUCUAACUCUUUUGCAAAUGCAUUUCGAAGCCGGAACUUUGAUGAAGCUCUAAAAGCUAUCCGGAGAAUGACUUACUAUGAGCGUGUAAAAGAAACUAUUGUAAAGAAGCUGUAGUCAAGGCUCUUUAGUUCUGAAAUUGGUAUGGUUCUGGAGCAAACCAAAUAUAAUUCCAUGAUUGACAAGUAGAAGAUUUGAUGGCAACAUCCAGAUUUUGAUUGAAGACCUGGUUGAGAUUUGCCCGGCAUCCUUCCGAGACAAAUUAAAUGUCAGAAAAUACAAAGAUUGGGCUGACAUUUGGUCCAGCUGCAAGUACUUUUUUCAUCGUACUACUCUGUAACCUCUUAUAAUGGUUUAGAGAUAGCUCUUAAUAAUACGAAUGCUUGUUGGAUGUAUUGUCCAUGCACAAGCUGUACCUGGCAAGCACUCUCUUGCAGAAUAAGUGUUCUAUUUAUCUUGUUAUAAAAUGAAAAGAUUGUUCCAAA